AUCCUGAUAGCUUACCACUAAAGCAUUAGCCUUGUAAACUAAAAACGGACUUACUCCUCAGGAUC
RNAcentral lists this transfer RNA (65 nucleotides) under Draco sp. SA1-2006. Its description in RNAcentral is "tRNA-Thr". Lineage: Eukaryota; Metazoa; Chordata; Lepidosauria; Squamata; Agamidae. The record is from RNAcentral.